ACCCGUCUAGCUCAGUCGGUAGAGCGCCAGCCUUUUAAGCUGGUGGUCGAGGGUUCGAGCCCCUCGGUGGGUG
Transfer RNA from Tetrahymena thermophila SB210, 73 nucleotides. It matches the Rfam family "tRNA". Rfam says of the family: Transfer RNA (tRNA) molecules are approximately 80 nucleotides in length. The record is from Rfam. Lineage: Eukaryota; Ciliophora; Oligohymenophorea; Hymenostomatida; Tetrahymenidae.